GAGUUUGAUCAUGGCUCAGAUUGAACGCUGGCGGCAUGCCUUACACAUGCAAGUCGAACGGCAGCAUGAUCUAGCUUGCUAGAUUGAUGGCGAGUGGCGAACGGGUGAGUAAUACAUCGGAACGUGCCCUGUAGUGGGGAGUAACUAGUCGAAGAUUAGCUAAUACCGCAUACGACCUGAGGGUGAAAGUAGGGGGACCGCAAGGCCUCAUGCUAUAGGAGCGGCCGAUGUCUGAUUAGCUAGUUGGUGGGGUAAAGGGCCCACCAAGGCGACGAUCAGUAGCUGGUCUGAGAGGACGAUCAGCCACACUGGGGACUGAGACACGGCCCAGACUCCUACGGGAGGCAGCAGUGGGGAAUUUUGGACAAUGGGCGAAAGCCUGAUCCAGCAAUGCCGCGUGUGUGAAGAAGGCCU
RNAcentral lists this ribosomal RNA (414 nucleotides) under uncultured microorganism. RNAcentral's name for it is "bacterial SSU rRNA". It matches the Rfam family "Bacterial small subunit ribosomal RNA", at positions 9 to 417 of the family's 1533-position model. The record is from RNAcentral.